This 396-nucleotide long non-coding RNA is filed under the name Rosa chinensis. RNAcentral's name for it is "sRNA RchiOBHm_Chr2g0166261". Lineage: Eukaryota; Viridiplantae; Streptophyta; Magnoliopsida; Rosales; Rosaceae. The record is from RNAcentral.
GUAGCUCAUAUUAUGAAAUGUGUGCUGUUGUAUUGUACCCAAGACAAAGUAACUAACAUCAAACUGAUCCCUCACUUCCUUAUGCCGCCUUGGACGUCAACCAUCGCCAAGUGAUCUCGGAUUAUCCUGACCUGCGUUACAAUUACACCUUCUAGGAAUCUGGGUGUUAUUGAGUUGGUGAAAAGCAUGGUGGUCAGUACGUAUCAGGCUGCUAGUGGAGCUGCUGCUGCUAUGAUAGAGCUUGAGCAGCAAACUCAUGAGGUUCUGGAAGGGAAGCCAGUAACUUCUGAGAUAUUUCAGCGGCUGUUCAGCGGUUUUUCCAAAUGGAUAUAAUGAAGAGGAAAUGAAACUAGUCAAGAAGACACAAUAAACAUGGAAUGACAAGGAUGUCAAGGA